This 505-nucleotide ribosomal RNA is filed under the name Anaplectus sp. PDL-2005. RNAcentral's name for it is "SSU rRNA". It matches the Rfam family "Eukaryotic small subunit ribosomal RNA", at positions 88 to 590 of the family's 1831-position model. Lineage: Eukaryota; Metazoa; Nematoda; Chromadorea; Plectida; Plectidae. The record is from RNAcentral.
CGCGAAUGGCUCAUUACAACAGCCACUGUUUACUUGAUCUUGAUUAUCCUACUUGGAUAACUGUGGUAAUUCUAGAGCUAAUACAUGCAACCAAGCUCCGACCGUAAGGGACGAGCGCAUUUAUUAGAACAAAACCAAUCGGGCUUCGGCCUGAGGUUUGGUGAAUCUGAAUAACUGAGCUGAUCGCAUGGUCUUUGUACCGGCGACGCAUCUUUCAAGUGUCUGCCUUAUCAACUUUCGAUGGUAGUUUAUGUGCCUACCAUGGUUGUAACGGGUAACGGAGAAUAAGGGUUCGACUCCGGAGAGGGAGCCUGAGAAACGGCUACCACAUCCAAGGAAGGCAGCAGGCGCGCAAAUUACCCACUCUCGGCACGAGGAGGUAGUGACGAAAAAUAACGAGGCGGUUCUCUAAGAGGCCCGCUAUCGGAAUGGGUACAAUUUAAACCCUUUAACGAGGACCUAUGAGAGGGCAAGUCUGGUGCCAGCAGCCGCGGUAAUUCCAGCU